RNAcentral lists this ribosomal RNA (279 nucleotides) under uncultured bacterium. Its description in RNAcentral is "partial 16S ribosomal RNA". It matches the Rfam family "Bacterial small subunit ribosomal RNA", at positions 506 to 784 of the family's 1533-position model. The record is from RNAcentral.
UGCCAGCAGCCGCGGUAAUACGGAGGGUGCAAGCGUUGUUCGGAAUUAUUGGGCGUAAAGCGCGUGUAGGCGGUUGGUCAAGUCCGGCGUGAAAACCCCAGGCUUAACCUGGGACGUGCAGUCGAUACUGCUUAUCUUGAAUGCUUGAGAGGAUGGCGGAAUUCCCGGUGUAGCAGUGAAAUGCGUAGAUAUCGGGAGGAACACCUGAGGCGAAGGCGGCCAUCUGGCGAUGCAUUGACGCUGAGGUGCGAAAGCGUGGGGAGCAAACCGGAUUAGAUA